UUUAUAUGAGUUUUCUCAGAAUGUUUCUCAGCUUGUUGUGACUCUGGUUUCACUGUUUCCUUGGCUGGUACACUUAUACCAGUUCGCUCUGAAGGUUUCUCAGCUUGUGAUUCUAGUUUCACUGUUUCCUUGGCUGGUUGACUUAUACCAGUUCGUUCUGAAGGUUUCUCAGCUUGUGAUUCUAGUUUCACUGUUUCCUUGGCUGGUUCACUUAUACCAGUUCUUUCUGAAGGUUUCUCGGUUUGUGAUCCUAGUUUCAUUGUCUCCUUUGCUGAUUCACUUAUACCAGAACGCUCUGAAGGUUUCUCAGCUUGUGAUCCUAGUUUCACUGUCUCCUUUGCUGAUUCACUUAUACUAGUUCCCUUUGAAGGUUGCUCCGCUUCUGAUUCUAAUUUCACUGUUUUCUUGGGUGGUUCACUUAUACUAGUUACCUCUGAAGGUUUCUCCGCUUCUGAUUUUAGUUUCACUGUUUCCUUGGCCGGUACACUUAUAAUAGUUACCUCUGAAGGUUUCUCAGCUUGUGAUUCUAGUUUCACUGUUUCCUUGGCUGGCUCACUUAUAAUAGUUACCUCCGAAGGUUUCUCAGCUUCUGAUUCUAGUUUCACUGUUUUCUUGGUUGGUUCACUUAUACCAGUUACCCCUGAAG
This 646-nucleotide long non-coding RNA is filed under the name Phaseolus vulgaris (common bean). Its description in RNAcentral is "long non-coding RNA (PVUL_LNC004695)". The record is from RNAcentral. Lineage: Eukaryota; Viridiplantae; Streptophyta; Magnoliopsida; Fabales; Fabaceae.